AUGGUGGGUGAUGGCCAUCCCAUGGUGAUUGGAGGGUUUUCAAAGUGUAGGAAGAGAGGAAAGCUUGAGACUUAUAGUUUUGAUCUCAGCAACAGCUGGGAGAGAGUUUUUCUCAUGGCAUGCAGUUGAUGGUUCACCUUAAGAAAUUUUCCAGUAAAUCGUGUGAUGUUGAAAUGUAUAGUAAAAAUUACUUGAUAGUAAUUUUCACAAAAACAAAAAUAUACAACAUGGGAAGGAAUUUGGAAAUAGAAGAGGUAUUGUUUAUCUUUUGCUUUAA
RNAcentral lists this long non-coding RNA (277 nucleotides) under Prunus dulcis (almond). RNAcentral describes it as "sRNA ncRNA". The record is from RNAcentral. Lineage: Eukaryota; Viridiplantae; Streptophyta; Magnoliopsida; Rosales; Rosaceae.